RNAcentral lists this long non-coding RNA (205 nucleotides) under Ananas comosus (pineapple). RNAcentral describes it as "long non-coding RNA (ACOM_LNC018053)". Lineage: Eukaryota; Viridiplantae; Streptophyta; Magnoliopsida; Poales; Bromeliaceae. The record is from RNAcentral.
UUCGUCUUUCUUUCAUCUUUUCUCCUUCCUCUCUAUCUGAAGUUUUCUUUUCUCACACCUCUUCAUCUUUUCAUCUUCUCCUUAGCCACCUAGCUUUCUCGCUAUGCUCCGAUUCCUUCUUUUCAUUCAUCUCCUUCUCUUGAUUAUACUCUCAUUCAACAAUAUGUCGAAUCGGACUUUUCUCGGCUUAUCCUUGGUCCUUCGU